Long non-coding RNA from Vicia villosa (hairy vetch), 824 nucleotides. RefSeq lists it as uncharacterized. The transcript has 3 exons. NCBI's taxonomy places the organism in Eukaryota, Viridiplantae, Streptophyta, Magnoliopsida, Fabales, Fabaceae. The record is from RefSeq and is a predicted model, not a curated record.
UUACUGCAAACCUUCUCACUUCUCUCUCAAACCUCUCUUCCCUUUUCUCUGCUGACUUUUUUUCUUUUUCACUACUCUCUCUGUUUUCAAUCUUCUUCCUCACAACUGGGGACAUCAUCUUCUUCAUCAUUUCAUUCAUCAUCAAUGGAUUGCUAUUCAUUACUCUUUACCAAGGAUUUAUCUUCUUAUUCAUCUUUCAGAUCUGAAACGGCUUCUGACUGGACCACCAGAUCUGAAAUUAAAACCACAAAAAUCAUCACCAGGUUUGAAAUCAAAACCAAUGGAUCUGUGAUGGAAACCUCCGGAUCUUAAAAAAGUUUAUUUUUAACCUUCAUCUUCAAGUGUUAGGCUUUAUAGAUUUCUGAGUUUUUUUCUUACCUUUUUUCAUUGUUUUAUUUUUCAGGCAUUGUUCUACAUCAAUGAGCCAUAACAUAUCUAUUUCCUCAAUGAGUUUUUCUCUUAACUACUUUUUCAGUAUUUGUAUGUUCUAUUUAUUCUUUCUUCAUCAUUUUUUUUCCUUUUGUUUGCAUGUUUGAUUUUGUGGUUGAUGUUAAGGUGUGAAAGUAACUGUAGCUUGAUGGAAUUUUUGGGAAGCUGUUGGAAUUUUUGAGGUUCCCACAUGCUACUACUGGUGUUUGAUGGUCUGCUUCUUCAAAAACAAGAUUUGCACAAGAAUUAAGGAGAGAGACUAUAUUUACCUUUCAAUUGAGUCUUUCCAAAGCACCAUGUCCAAUGGAACCAUUACUGCAGCAACCUACUCCUCAUUAUUUUUUUUUCUGAAUACCCUCAUCUAUGUAGUCGACGUGACAUUAUUGAAUUUUUAU